UACGGAGGGGGCUAGCGUUGUUCGGAAUUACUGGGCGUAAAGCGCACGUAGGCGGCUUUGUAAGUUAGAGGUGAAAGCCCAGGGCUUAACCCUGGAAUUGCCUUUAAGACUGCAUCGCUAGAAUCGUGGAGAGGUGAGUGGAAUUCCGAGUGUAGAGGUGAAAUUCGUAGAUAUUCGGAAGAACACCAGUGGCGAAGGCAGCAGAUUGGGCCGGUAUUGACGCUCAGGCACGAAAGCAUGGGGAUCAAACAGG
This 253-nucleotide ribosomal RNA is filed under the name uncultured bacterium. RNAcentral describes it as "partial 16S ribosomal RNA". It matches the Rfam family "Bacterial small subunit ribosomal RNA", at positions 524 to 776 of the family's 1533-position model. The record is from RNAcentral.